GGCCCCGUAGUUCAACGGAUAGAAUGCAAGAUUGCGGAUCUUGUGAUCCAAGUUCGAUUCUUGGCGGGGUCACCA
This 75-nucleotide transfer RNA is filed under the name Candidatus Nomurabacteria bacterium. Its description in RNAcentral is "tRNA-Arg". It matches the Rfam family "tRNA". From Rfam's summary of the family: Transfer RNA (tRNA) molecules are approximately 80 nucleotides in length. Lineage: Bacteria; Candidatus Nomuraibacteriota. The record is from RNAcentral. RNAcentral also lists the same sequence under 1 other name.